Molecule: RNA transcript, 2924 nt
Organism: Myotis myotis
Lineage: Eukaryota; Metazoa; Chordata; Mammalia; Chiroptera; Vespertilionidae
Gene: TCTN1
Gene name: tectonic family member 1
Exons: 16
Source: RefSeq, a predicted model, not a curated record
UUGCCGCCGUGGUUGCCAGGCAACGCGGUCCCUGCCGCCGCCGGCGCGGGGUUCGACCGCACGAUGGGGCCGCGGGGCCUCCCCCGACUCCUGCUGGUGCUCCUGGACUGCUGGGCCUCCGUGAACGCCCAAGCCGGGACCACCCUGGUGGUGACAACGGAGGGCCUCAACUCUACGGAACCAGCCCUGACGACUCCCCGACCUGCCUUGUCUGCUAGGCCCCCGGGCACCCCCAGUGCCCCCGGACCCUCCUCGGGUCCCAGGCCCACCCCGGUCACGGACGUUGCCGCUUUGUGUGUCUGUGACCUGUCUCCAGUACAGUGUGACGUCAACUGCUGUUGUGAUCCUGAUUGCAGUUCCGUGGAUUUUAGUGUCUUUUCUGAUUGCUCAGUUCCAGUUGUCAUGGGUGAUAGUCAGUUUUGUAGCCAAAAAGCAGCCAUCUAUUCGUUGAAUUUAACAGCAAACCCGCCCCAGAGGCUAUUUAAAGUUGUAGACCAGAUCAAUCCUUCUAUUUUCUGCAUUCAUAUUACAAACUAUAAACCUGCAUUAUCCUUUAUUGAUCCAGAAGUGCCUGAUGAAAACAAUUUUGAUAAAUUGAUGAAAACAUUCCAUGGUUUUUCAUUGAAUACAGAAUCAGAUGUUUCUUUAACAAACGAACCAGAUGUUCCAAAUACUACUAAAUAUGAGUAUGGGGUUCUUCUGCAGACUUCAGAUUCAUUUUUGAGAUUUCCUUCCCCCCUUACGUCAUCUCUGUGCACUGAUAAUAACCCUGCAGCAUUUCUGAUGAAUCAAGCUGUUAAGUGCACCAGAAGGAUAAACUUGGAACAGUGCGAAGAAAUGGAAGCUCUGAGCAUGGCUCAUUACAGCAGCCCUAACAUUUUGAGGGUACCUAAUUCAAAAACAAAGGUCCCUAUCACUGUCCAGUCCAUCGUCAUUCAGUCUCUAAAUAAAACGCUCACCCGGCUGGCAGACACGCACGUAUUGGAGCCGGUUCUUGUUGAAGAGGCUGGGGCUGUUAAAGUCUGCACCAAGGUCGUUCUAGAGGUAAAGUACAGUCUCACAUACACAGAAGCAGGUGAAGUAACAAAAGCCGAUCUCUCUCUCCUUCUGGGGACAGUGAGCGACGCAGAGCUUCCACUCCAGCAAAAGUUUGAAAUUCAUUUUAUUCAGCAAAAUACAAAGCCAGUUCCUCUCAGUGGAAACCCUGGUUAUGUUGCGGGCCUCCCGCUGGAUGCUGGAUUUCAGCCUCACAAAGGGUCUGGAAUUAUUCAGACCAUGAAUAGAUAUGGACAACUUACUAUUCUUCGUAGCACAGCUGAGCAAGACUGCUUGGCAGUAGAGGGGAUUCGGACCCCAGUAUUAUUUGGUUACAAUAUGCAGUCUGGCUGUAAACUAAGACUGACCAGCACGAUCACGUGUCCACUUGUCGUGGAGAAGGUGAAGAGCCUGCUGAAGGGUCAGGGCUUCCCAGAUUAUGUGGCCUCUUUUGGAAAUUCUCAGGCCCAGGAUGUGCCGGACUGGGUGCCUGUCCACUUCAUCACCCAGGCACCCCACACGAAGGAUGUCUGCCAGCUCCCACUGGCUUUGGUUAUAGAAGUGAAGUGGACUAAGUACGGAUCCUUACUGAACCCACAGGCUAAAAUAGUCAACGUAACUGCAAAUCUAAUUUCAUCCUCAUAUCCUAAGACCAACUCCGGAAAAGAAAGGACGGUUCUUAUUUCCACUGCGGUUACUUUCGUGGAUGUGUCUGCUCCUGCAGUGGCAGGCUUCAGAGCUCGGCCAACCAUCAAUGCCAAGCUGCCCUUCAAUUUCUUCUUCCCAUUUGUUUGACACCCUACGUGGAAACCAAAUUGCACCUUUGGGAAGACGGUAGAGAGAACAGACUCUGAAGUAGCAAAGGCAUUGAGGGCUUAUCCAGUUCACUCACCUCCUGCUUUGAUAGUGCUCAUAUGAAAGAACGCCUCAGUAUUCACGUAGAACGUGAAAACUGCAUUUGAUGAGAUUAAAUGUUGUAUACAACUAGUGACUGUCCAGCUUUGUUGUACAUUUUCAAGCAAGAGUCAAGUGUUCAACAUGAGAAACAGCUUAUGAUACAUUUGUGAUACAGUGCAGGUGGGAAUGGGAUGGGAAGCCCUCGGUCACACCGAGGAAGAGAGAGAGCCUUCCGGAAGACUGUCCCUCCAGGAUCCAAGCUGGGUAGGAGGCAGAGACAUCAGACCAGCCCUGUCCCGCAGAUGCCCCACGCGUCUCAUUCACAGCCACAGCCCGUGAGGCGGUGUCUCUGGAGUGGAGCAGGGAUGCCUCUAGUUCACCUCCCCCAGAAGUCCGUGCUGUCUCAGUAGCUUGUUAAGUCUUCCAAUUUCUUGUUCCUGUUAUUACAAAAGCAGAGAAAUAACUGAAUUUACCUCUGAGUCUCAUCAGGGAUGUGACCAUCAUUCCGUGAGCCCUGGUACGAGGACAGGCCACGAAGCUUGUGGAGUCAGCCCGCUGAAGGUGACUGCCACAGUCAGAUGGGGUCCAGUGACAAGAGGAGGGAUGCCCAGCCUAGCUCUGGGAAGGAGGCAAGGACAGGGAAGGCUUGGCCAGGGGGAGGGGUGCUCCUGGCUCAAGGCCCACAGGAACGAAGGCCUGGUGUGAGAAGCACUGUGCUGAGGUGGGCAACUGCCAACAGGUGGUAUUUCCCCAGAAGUGCUUUCUUACCUUCUCAGAGCAGCUGAACUCAAGGUGCUGGAUCUUGGCAGCCAAUUGCAUAUUUAUCUGUUUUAACCUCAACAGUUGCCGUUCUGAACGUGUCUUAACUGAGAUAAUUAUUCCUGAAAAAUAAUUGAGGGUCUCAAUGAUCCUGGUUUCUAAUUUAACCACUUGAAAAAAAAAAUCUGUAUUCCUUAUAAAUGUAUACAGUUGAGAAGAGUGGUGACAGACAA